ACCCUACUCUAAUAAGGCUUUAAUAUCUGGAGCUCAUAGGUGGGAGAUAAAAUAUACAUACUUACAAUACAUUUAUUGUAUAGUCAAACCAUGGAUCCAAAGAAAUAAAUCAAUACGUCAAAUCAAGAUGUGCAUGUGUGGCGAAUCAAUGGUGUAUGGUGAUGAUGGUGAUAACAAUGGUGAAAGUCUAAUUCUACUUUUGCUCUUUUGAGGGGAUAAAUACCUUCCUUGCUUUUUGAAACUUUAUGAGGAGAAUGAGAUGCUCUAUAUUUUUCUU
Molecule: long non-coding RNA, 277 nt
Filed under: Sorghum bicolor (sorghum)
Lineage: Eukaryota; Viridiplantae; Streptophyta; Magnoliopsida; Poales; Poaceae
Description: long non-coding RNA (SBIC_LNC003238)
Source: RNAcentral